RNAcentral lists this ribosomal RNA (253 nucleotides) under uncultured bacterium. RNAcentral describes it as "partial 16S ribosomal RNA". It matches the Rfam family "Bacterial small subunit ribosomal RNA", at positions 524 to 776 of the family's 1533-position model. The record is from RNAcentral.
UACGUAGGUGGCAAGCGUUGUUCGGAAUUAUUGGGCGUAAAGGGCGCGUAGGCGGUCUUGUAAGUCAGGUGUGAAAUCCCCGGGCUUAACCUGGGAAUUGCGCUUGAAACUAGCGGGCUUGAGUGUGGCAGAGGGGGGUGGAAUUCCACGUGUAGCAGUGAAAUGCGUAGAGAUGUGGAGGAACACCGAUGGCGAAGGCAGCCCCCUGGGUCAACACUGACGCUCAUGCACGAAAGCGUGGGGAGCAAACAGG